GCUAAUUUUAUAAUCUCUAAAAUUUUACUUUCAGCAAUAAAGUAUUUUACUUUAAAAAGCCCAAAUGAACAUAAAAGAAGCUAUCAUUUUCAAAUACUUUCUGCCAGUUCAGAAUACACAUUAGCACAUAAUAGCCAAGCUUUAUAUUGUAAAUAGCAGAGUGCAGUUAAAAAGAAAGAAAACAUUUUAGGCCUUGGGUUUCUGGUCAAGUUUCAAUAAUUAUUGCAUUGCAGUAAAGUGUUAAGAAAAUAUCUGAAAUUAAGGAAAGAGUGGACUCAAGGUAUCACAUUUAAAUUAUAAUGAAUAACCUUCACUUUUUCUAAUACACAGAUAAUUAACCAUGAUGUUGUGAAAAAAAUGAAAAGGACAAAUGUUAACUUUUAAAAAUUAUACCAGUCCUUUUUUUGUUUCAGGAAAUGAUUUGGAUUAACCCAGAGGCAAAGGCUAAAAUAAUAAUAAUAAUAUUUUGCUGCGCAAAAUGGAAGUCAUAAGGGAAAAAAAAAUCCUUUAUAAGGAUUCAUCCUUUAUAAGGCAUGAAUCACCUGUGCUCUUUCACUGAGCUUACAGAUUUCACGAGCUGAGGAAAGACUGACAUUGCUGGACAAACAGAAGGAAGACCACCUCUUUACGCUGCUUGGUUCCAGAGGACUCAAAGACAAGAUGAAGGCUCUGAUUUUGUUUGCAAUAAUUUUGAUCUUUACUGCUUGCUUCACGUCUGUUGAUGCCCUUAAGAAAAGAAAACACAAAUCUAACCAUAGUUCUGAAAAGAAUUUCAAACCAUUUAAACAAAGAAGGCCUGUAAAG
This 804-nucleotide long non-coding RNA is filed under the name Callithrix jacchus (white-tufted-ear marmoset). RNAcentral's name for it is "lncRNA (ENSCJAG00000077364.1)". The record is from RNAcentral. Lineage: Eukaryota; Metazoa; Chordata; Mammalia; Primates; Cebidae.